CCGUAGGAGUGGCAGUGUCUCAGUCCCAGUGUGGCUGACCAUCCUCUCAGACCAGCUACCCGUCAUAUCCUUGGUGAGGCGUCACCUCACCAACAAGCUGAUAGGACGUGGGCUCAUCCUCAAGCGCCAGGCCUUGGGGUCCCCGGCUUUGGAUAUUCCUUCAUGUGAAGGACGACCACAUUCGGUAUUAAUUCCGCUUUCGCGAGAGCUAUCCCCAACUUGAGGGCAGAUUACCCGCGUGUUACUCACCCUUUCGCCACUGUCCCC
Molecule: ribosomal RNA, 267 nt
Filed under: uncultured bacterium
Lineage: Bacteria
Description: 16S ribosomal RNA
Source: RNAcentral